RNAcentral lists this ribosomal RNA (484 nucleotides) under uncultured bacterium. Its description in RNAcentral is "partial 16S ribosomal RNA". It matches the Rfam family "Bacterial small subunit ribosomal RNA", at positions 30 to 507 of the family's 1533-position model. The record is from RNAcentral.
AUUGAACGCUGGCGGCAGGCCUAAUACAUGCAAGUCGAGCGGAUGAAGGGAGCUUGCUCUUGGUUCAAGCGGCGGACGGGUGAGUAAUGCCUAGAAUUCUGCCUGGUAGUGGGGGAUAACGUCGGGAAACGGGCGCUAAUACCGAUUACGACUUGAGGGAGAAAGUGGGGGUUCUUCGGACCUCAAGUUAUCAGUGCAGCCUAGGUAGGAUUAGCUAGUUGGUGGGUUAAUGGCCUACCAAGGCGACGAUCCGUAACUGGUCUGAGAGGAUGAUCAGUCACACUGGAACUGAGACACGGUCCAGACUCCUACGGGAGGCAGCAGUGGGGAAUAUUGGACAAUGGGCGAAAGCCUGAUCCAGCCAUGCCGCGUGGGUGAAGAAGGUCUUCGGAUUGUAAAGCACUUUAAGUUGGGAGGAAGGGCAGUAAGUUAAUACCUUGCUGUUUUGACGUUACCAACAGAAUAAGCACCGGCUAACUUCGUG